CCUACGGGGGGCAGCAGUGGGGAAUAUUGGACAAUGGGCGAAAGCCUGAUCCAGCCAUGCCGCGUGUGUGAAGAAGGCCUUCGGGUUGUAAAGCACUUUCAGUGGGGAAGAAAGCCUUGGGGCUAAUACCCUCGAGGAAGGACAUCACCCACAGAAGAAGCACCGGCUAACUCCGUGCACAGCAGCCGCGGUAAUACGGAGGGUGCGAGCGUUAAUCGGAAUUACUGGGCGUAAAGCGCGCGUAGGCGGUCUGAUAAGCCGGUUGUGAAAGCCCCGGGCUCAACCUGGGAACGGCAUCCGGAACUGUCAGGCUAGAGUGCAGGAGAGGAAGGUAGAAUUCCCGGUGUAGCGGUGAAAUGCGUAGAGAUCGGGAGGAAUACCAGUGGCGAAGGCGGCCUUCUGGACUGACACUGACGCUGAGGUGCGAAAGCGUGGGUAGCAAACAGGAUUAGAUACCCUAGUAGUC
This 466-nucleotide ribosomal RNA is filed under the name Vreelandella stevensii. Its description in RNAcentral is "partial 16S ribosomal RNA". It matches the Rfam family "Bacterial small subunit ribosomal RNA", at positions 338 to 795 of the family's 1533-position model. The record is from RNAcentral. Lineage: Bacteria; Pseudomonadati; Pseudomonadota; Gammaproteobacteria; Oceanospirillales; Halomonadaceae.